Molecule: ribosomal RNA, 495 nt
Filed under: uncultured bacterium
Lineage: Bacteria
Description: partial 16S ribosomal RNA
Rfam family: Bacterial small subunit ribosomal RNA
Source: RNAcentral
GACGAACGCUGGCGGCGUGCCUAAUACAUGCAAGUAGAACGCUGAAGGAGGAGCUUGCUUCUCUGGAUGAGUUGCGAACGGGUGAGUAACGCGUAGGUAACCUGCCUGGUAGCGGGGGAUAACUAUUGGAAACGAUAGCUAAUACCGCAUAAGAGUAGAUGUUGCAUGACAUUUGCUUAAAAGGUGCAAUUGCAUCACUACCAGAUGGACCUGCGUUGUAUUAGCUAGUUGGUGAGGUAACGGCCCACCAAGGCAACGAUACAUAGCCGACCUGAGAGGGUGAUCGGCCACACUGGGACUGAGACACGGCCCAGACUCCUACGGGAGGCAGCAGUAGGGAAUCUUCGGCAAUGGACGGAAGUCUGACCGAGCAACGCCGCGUGAGUGAAGAAGGUUUUCGGAUCGUAAAGCUCUGUUGUAAGAGAAGAACGAGUGUGAGAGUGGAAAGUUCACACUGUGACGGUAUCUUACCAGAAAGGGACGGCUAACUACGUG